This 425-nucleotide ribosomal RNA is filed under the name uncultured bacterium. Its description in RNAcentral is "partial 16S ribosomal RNA". It matches the Rfam family "Bacterial small subunit ribosomal RNA", at positions 354 to 796 of the family's 1533-position model. The record is from RNAcentral.
GUGAGGAAUAUUGGACAAUGGGCGCAAGCCUGAUCUAGCCAUGCCGCGUGAGCGAUGAAGGCCUUAGGGUUGUAAAGCUCUUUCAGCUGGGAAGAUAAUGACGGUACCAGCAGAAGAAGCCCCGGCUAACUCCGUGCCAGCAGCCGCGGUAAUACGGAGGGGGCUAGCGUUGUUCGGAAUUACUGGGCGUAAAGCGCGCGUAGGCGGACCAGAAAGUUGGAGGUGAAAUCCCAGGGCUCAACCUUGGAACUGCCUUCAAAACUCCUGGUCUGGAGUUCGAGAGAGGUGAGUGGAAUUCCGAGUGUAGAGGUGAAAUUCGUAGAUAUUCGGAGGAACACCAGUGGCGAAGGCGGCUCACUGGCUCGAUACUGACGCUGAGGUGCGAAAGCGUGGGGAGCAAACAGGAUUAGAAACCCGAGUAGUCC